AUUCAGCUGACGAGUCCCAAAAGGAGGAAACGCGAGUCCUGAAU
Molecule: non-coding RNA, 44 nt
Filed under: Schistosoma margrebowiei
Lineage: Eukaryota; Metazoa; Platyhelminthes; Trematoda; Strigeidida; Schistosomatidae
Source: RNAcentral